CCUACGGGUGACAGCAGUGAGGAAUAUUGGUCAAUGGCCGCGAGCCUGAACCAGCCAAGUCGCGUGAAGGAUGACUGCCCUACGGGUUGUAAACCUCUUUUAUAAAGGAAUAAAGUGAGUCACGUGUGCCUUUUUGUAUGUACUUUAUGAAUAAGCAUCGGCUAACUCCGUGCCAGCAGCCGCGGUAAUACGUAGGUUGCAAGCGUUGUCCGGAAUUACUGGGUGUAAAGGGAGCGCAGGCGGGAAGCCAAGUCAGCUGUUAAAAUUACGGGCUUAACUUGUAGACUGCAGUUGAAACUGGUUUUCUUGAGUGAAGUAGAGGUUGGCGGAAUGCGGGGUGUAGCGGUGAAAUGCGUAGAUAUUCCGAGGAACACCGGUGGCGAAGGCAGCAAACUGGGGUUUAACUGACGCUGAGGCUCGAAAGUGUGGGGAGCAAACAGGAUUAGAUACCCGGGUAGUC
This 460-nucleotide ribosomal RNA is filed under the name uncultured bacterium. RNAcentral describes it as "partial 16S ribosomal RNA". It matches the Rfam family "Bacterial small subunit ribosomal RNA", at positions 338 to 795 of the family's 1533-position model. The record is from RNAcentral.